UUCUCGCCUCUGCCUCAUGGUGUG
RNAcentral lists this non-coding RNA (24 nucleotides) under Arabidopsis thaliana (thale cress). The record is from RNAcentral. Lineage: Eukaryota; Viridiplantae; Streptophyta; Magnoliopsida; Brassicales; Brassicaceae.